GAGGGGCGGGACGCAGCAAAUUUAGCACGUGGAGGGAACGCUAAGGCCGGUUGCCUAGGUCACAGCGCAGCGUUGUCUCAGCCCCGAGGAAAGUGGGCGGGGCCGGGUCGCGGACACCCCGCCCCCGUCAAAGGCGUGGCCUGGGAUUGGCUCGCUGCGGCCGGGGGCACCUCAAAGGCCCGGACGCCUGAGCCCUGGCCGGGGUAAUCGCACUGGCUCGGCGUAGGGAGAGAUGCCUCUGAUCCCGGGGUCCCCUGCGACCACACAUUCCCCGAUUAUUCGUACAGGCUGCGGUGCGAGCCUGGAGGUCUGGACCCAGGUCGAGUAAAUUCGAGAAACUUCAGCCCUGGGCCCGCACUGGUCUAAGCCCCUGAUAGAAGAGACUGGACUCAACAGGCGAUCUGGGCGGCAGUUCCGGGCCACCUGCCCCUGCAGAUGCUUAGCGUGUGACCCCUGGGGUAGCCCACCUCCUUCUCUGACCACUACCUUACACUCUGCCUGGAUCCAUGUAAUUGAAGGAAGCACACUAGUUCCCUUGCUCACCUGCUCACUUGCUCCAGCUGCCACUUCAUUUCUUGGAUACUAUGCAUGGAAUUGGGAUAAAGAAUGGAAGGACAGACAGGGAAGAACAGAGGUGAG
This 639-nucleotide long non-coding RNA is filed under the name Rhinolophus ferrumequinum (greater horseshoe bat). Its description in RNAcentral is "lncRNA (ENSRFEG00010021344.1)". Lineage: Eukaryota; Metazoa; Chordata; Mammalia; Chiroptera; Rhinolophidae. The record is from RNAcentral.